RNAcentral lists this long non-coding RNA (1118 nucleotides) under Piliocolobus tephrosceles (Ugandan red Colobus). RNAcentral's name for it is "lncRNA (ENSPTEG00000009294.1)". Lineage: Eukaryota; Metazoa; Chordata; Mammalia; Primates; Cercopithecidae. The record is from RNAcentral.
CCAAUGUGCAUUAUGAACACGUUUUGAUUAACAGACAUUUAAAAAAUAAAGUAGAAAACGGUGGACAAACUAAAAAAAAUAUAUGUGAUAUCGAAUUGUGUGAAAAUAAUGAUAAAAUAAAAUUGAAUGAUGAAUCUCAUGGUGCAAAAAACAAUGUACUUAAGAUAAAUAGUAACAAACCUAAAAAUAACAUUUGUAGUGAUAAAAGCAAUACAAGCGUAAGAUCAAUAAUGAGUAAUAGUAUAAUAUUUAGCAAUUCUUUAAAUUCUGAUGGAAAUGAUUAUUUAACGUUUAAUGAUGAUGUGUUUAUAUUUAUAGAUGAUUAUGCAAAAAAAUAUUCAAAUAAUUAUAAAAAAAGUGAUCAUAAUUAUAAUAACAUAUCACUAGAAAAUAUGAAUGGUUUAAAAUAUGAUGAUAACACACUAAUAAAACAUAAUAAUAUAGCUGAUAUGGUAAUACAUAUAAAAAAAUAUAUUAAAAGUAAUAUUUCAUAUUUCGCUUGUAAACAUAUAGAAAUAAAUGAUUUAUGCAACUUAAAUAAAAAAAAUAAUAAAUAUGACAACUUAAAUAUUUAUAUGUAUGAUAAUAACACAUCCGAUUUAUCUAUGAGUGACUGUUUAAUAACCCCUAACAAGGAAGAAAAUAUCUUAUGCAGUUCAUUUAAUUUAACAGAUAUGAAUGCCGUUAAUAGUAAUGAUAAAGAGCAUGAAAAAGAUGGAAUAAGUGAAAGUAGUGAACAAAAUUAUAAAAGUGGUACUCGAAAAAAUAAAACGUAUAUUGAAACGAGUAAGGAUGAAACAUCGAACUGUGAUAUUGUUAUAUACCAUGACGAAAGGAAUAAUCAUUAUGAAAAUGAAAUAAGUGAAGAUUAUGACAAUAAUGAUUUUUCAAAAAAACAGAAACUUAUAAGAACCAAGAAAUUUACAGAGUCGAAGCUUAUAAGAACUAAAAAAUCCACAGAGUUAUUAAAUAAAAAAAAUCAAAUACUAACGUUAAUUGAUGAAUUGAAAGAAGAAUUAGCAAAGAGAAGAAAUUCUUAUGAAAGUGAUGAAAAUAAAAAAAACAAAACAACUGAUGAUGUAUUUAGAUAUGAGGAAAAAAAAAUAAUAAUUACAGGA